Molecule: ribosomal RNA, 813 nt
Filed under: Phyllodistomum parasiluri
Lineage: Eukaryota; Metazoa; Platyhelminthes; Trematoda; Plagiorchiida; Gorgoderidae
Description: eukaryotic LSU rRNA
Rfam family: Eukaryotic large subunit ribosomal RNA
Source: RNAcentral
AGAGGUAAACGGGUGGAGUUGAACUGCAUGCUCCGUGAAUUCAGCUGGUGAGAUUGUUGUGGGGCUUGGUCAAGUAGGGUAGACACUGAGGUAUGCUUAGCUGCAUGUCCCGGCCUGCAGGUUGGGAUGCGCGAUACGCUCAUCAUGCGUUGCGCGCCUCUGUUGUUUAUCUGCCCUCUCGCCAGUGCAUUUUCGCGGAGCGUUCACCAAGACCGGCGUUGCUGUCCGUCUGCUUUAGUUAAACCGGUCUUACGCGUCGUUAUGGCGUUGUUUGGUCGGGACGGCAGGUAGCCUGUUGGCUUGCUUCGCUUGCUUUCGGGUAUAAUCAGCUGACUAAAGCGGAACUGUGCAGUGCGUCGGAGCUGGCGGCCAGUUGUGCAUGCUCGUGCGUCGUGCCUUCCGAAGGAUUCUGUAUUGAUCUCCAUGUUGCCUGUCUCGGCAGGUCUGGUGAUACACGGAGUUCUCUUGGUUGGUGGUACCGCGGGUAGCACUUAGGGCCAAUAGUCUUUGGUGUCGUGGUAGACUAUCCACCUGACCCGUCUUGAAACACGGACCAAGGAGAGUAACAUGUGCGCGAGUCAUUGGGUGUAACGAAACCCAAAGGCGCAGUGAAAGUAAAGGACUGACUUGUUCAGUCUGAGGUGAGAUCCUGUUGUUUCUCAUGCCUGGUACCACCAAGCUUGGAGCGACAGGCGCAUCACCGGCCCGUCCCAUGAUGUAGACACGGUCAUUGUACUCGUGCACCGUCGGGGCGGAGCAUGAGCGCACACGUUGAGACCCGAAAGAUGGUGAACUAUGCUUGCGCAGGUUGAA